RNAcentral lists this non-coding RNA (31 nucleotides) under Rattus norvegicus (Norway rat). The record is from RNAcentral. Lineage: Eukaryota; Metazoa; Chordata; Mammalia; Rodentia; Muridae.
UCUACUCCUUUAACAGUCAGACCCAGGCACA